This 253-nucleotide ribosomal RNA is filed under the name uncultured bacterium. Its description in RNAcentral is "partial 16S ribosomal RNA". It matches the Rfam family "Bacterial small subunit ribosomal RNA", at positions 524 to 776 of the family's 1533-position model. The record is from RNAcentral.
UACGUAGGGUGCGAGCGUUAAUCGGAAUCACUGGGCGUAAAGGGCGCGUAGGCGGCCUCUCUUGUCGCGUGUGAAAGCCCCGGGCUCAACCUGGGAAUUGCGAUGAAGACUGCAAGGCUUGAAUCUGGCAGAGGGGGGUAGAAUUCCACGUGUAGCAGUGAAAUGCGUAGAGAUGUGGAGGAACACCGAUGGCGAAGGCAGCCCCCUGGGUCAAGAUUGACGCUCAUGCACGAAAGCGUGGGGAGCAAACAGG